RNAcentral lists this non-coding RNA (73 nucleotides) under Marinobacter nauticus. The record is from RNAcentral. RNAcentral also lists the same sequence under 1 other name. Lineage: Bacteria; Pseudomonadati; Pseudomonadota; Gammaproteobacteria; Pseudomonadales; Marinobacteraceae.
AACCGCCCGGUGCGGACCCGCAUGCCGGGUGGUGUGGGAGGGGCGGAACCUAUUGGUUCCCCCCUAUCCCGAU